GACGAACGCUGGCAGCGUGCUUAACACAUGCAAGUCGAACGCUGAAGCUCAGCUUUUGUUGGGUGGAUGAGUGGCGAACGGGUGAGUAACACGUGAGUAACCUGCCUCCUUCUUUGGGAUAACGCCCGGAAACGGGUGCUAAUACUGGAUAUUCACUGGUCUUCGCAUGGGGGUUGGUGGAAAGGGUUUUUCUGGUGGGGGAUGGGCUCGCGGCCUAUCAGCUUGUUGGUGGGGUGAUGGCCUACCAAGGCUUUGACGGGUAGCCGGCCUGAGAGGGUGACCGGUCACAUUGGGACUGAGAUACGGCCCAGACUCCUACGGGAGGCAGCAGUGGGGAAUAUUGCACAAUGGGCGCAAGCCUGAUGCAGCGACGCCGCGUGAGGGAUGGAGGCCUUCGGGUUGUGAACCUCUUUCGCUCAUGGUCAAGCCGCAACAAUGGUUGUGGUGAGGGUAGUGGGUAAAGAAGCGCCGGCUAACUACGUG
Molecule: ribosomal RNA, 483 nt
Filed under: uncultured bacterium
Lineage: Bacteria
Description: partial 16S ribosomal RNA
Rfam family: Bacterial small subunit ribosomal RNA
Source: RNAcentral